RNAcentral lists this ribosomal RNA (253 nucleotides) under uncultured bacterium. Its description in RNAcentral is "partial 16S ribosomal RNA". It matches the Rfam family "Bacterial small subunit ribosomal RNA", at positions 524 to 776 of the family's 1533-position model. The record is from RNAcentral.
UACGUAGGGGGCAAGCGUUGUCCGGAAUCAUUGGGCGUAAAGCGCGCGUAGGCGGCCCGGUAAGUCCGCUGUGAAAGUCAAAGGCUCAACCUUUGAAUGCCGGUGGAUACUGUCGGGCUAGAGUCCGGAAGAGGCGAGUGGAAUUCCUGGUGUAGCGGUGGAAUGCGCAGAUAUCAGGAGGAACACCAAUAGCGAAGGCAGCUCGCUGGGACGGUACUGACGCUAAGGCGCGAAAGCGUGGGGAGCGAACAGG